RNAcentral lists this unclassified non-coding RNA (815 nucleotides) under Hevea brasiliensis (rubber tree). Lineage: Eukaryota; Viridiplantae; Streptophyta; Magnoliopsida; Malpighiales; Euphorbiaceae. The record is from RNAcentral.
AGCAACAAACUUGACCAAGAGAAAUGGGCAUUGAGAUGAGAGUUUUUCUAAUGGUAGGCAUGGUUUUAUGCCUUGUCUCCAUUGCACAUGCCGCACAAGGGACUGCCGUUUGGUACAAACCUCCUUAUACGCGUAAGUAUACAUCUCAUAUCCGUUUUGAUAUUACAUAUAUUAUCAACAGAAAUUAUUAUUAUUAAGUUGAUGUUUGGUUUUUGUGGAAGCAUCAAAGUGCUUUGGGAAUCAAAAUAAUGGAGCAAUGGUUGCUGGUGUAAGUGAUAAACUGUGGAAUAAUGGAGCAGCAUGUGGAAAAAUGUAUAGAGUGAGAUGCAUAGAAGGGGCAAACCUUGCACCCCACCCUUGCAAACAAGGUACCAGCGUUGUAGUUAAAAUUGUCGAUUAUUGUCAAAGAGGCUGCACUGGAGAUAUUAAUCUCUCUAGAGAUGCCUUCGCUCAAAUUGCUGAUGUUAAUGCCGGCAUUGUUAAAGUUCAAUAUGACCAGGCUUGAAGCUUGGAAUAGAAUUUUUCGAAGGCAAACUACUUAAGUAGCAUAGAAUAAGAAACAGAUGAUGAUGAAGCUUGUCUAGUGUGAAAAUCAUAUAUAUGAGAAUAAUAAUUUUAAAGUAUUAAAUUAAUGGGACUCUUAUCAUGUAUCUUUUGGUUUUUCAAUCAAGUACUCAUGGAUAAGCAAUGACUAGCUCUUGCGACUACCAUUAUGUGUUGGUCUUGCUAUAUAAUAGUAAUUUUAUUCAUAAAACUGGAAUUUAUUUUAAUAAUUGUUUUAAUUUUCUUGCUAUACAGCUAUGUGUUGGGAUGGU